AGGAAAAAGCAGCUAUGGCAACGCCGGCGCAUGAGGCUUGAAGAGGGAGUCGAGCUAACAGAGGUAUAGUUUUUCUUAUGGAAGAAAACCCAAUUAUUUCAUGAUGGCAUUUGCACCUCCAAAAAGCACAGAUGGUCCCAAAAUGCAGACAAAGAUGAGUACCUGGACACCCUUAAACCAUCAGCUUUUGAAUGACCGGGUAUUUGAAGAAAGAAGAGCACUGCUUGGAAAAUGGAAGAAAAGAGAGAUUUGGACUCCGGUAAAGUGGCUCAUUCAGCUGUUUGACAAAUGGACAGACUCCCAAAGGAGAAGAAUCCUGGCUGGCCUGUUAGAACGCUGCUCCCUGUCACAGCAAAAGUUCUGCUGUCGAAAGCUUCAGGAAAAGCUUCCAGCAGAAGCUCUGGAUUUUACUACGAAGCUUCCAAGGGUGUUAUCCUUAUACAUCUUUUCUUUCCUGGACCCCCGAAGCCUCUGUCGUUGUGCACAGGUGAGCUGGCACUGGAAGAACUUAACUGAGCUGGAUCAGCUCUGGAUGCUCAAAUGUUUACGGUUUAACUGGUACAUCAAUUUCUCUCCAACUCCCUUUGAGCAGGGUAUAUGGAAGAAGCACUAUAUUCAAAUGGUGAAAGAACUUCAUGUUACCAAGCCUAAGACUCCUCCUAAAGAUGGAUUUGUGAUUGCUGAUGUUCAACCAGUGACUGGCAGCUCUCCAGAGGAAAAGCAGUCACCUUCCUCAGCUUUCCGAUCUUCUUCCUCUUUGAGAAAGAAGAAUCACCCAGGGGAGAAAGAACUCCCACCCUGGCGGUCCUCUGACAAGCAUCCCACUGAUAUCAUUCGCUUCAAUUACCUGGACAAUUGUGACCCCUUUGAGCAGACCUGGCAAGGGAACAGUCAAAUGGACAAAGUUUUAAAAGGAUUAUUUGUCAUUUCUCCAAUGCUUUCCAACUUACAGAAGAAAGAAAAGACAAGAAAUGACCCCAGAUCCCAGCCGACAGUCACAUGAUAAGAGAAAUAAAUUGCAGGGCAGAUCUAAGCUCAGAAAAGCACAGUCACUGAAUCAUCAAGCGGUGGUUUAAAUCCUGCUCUCUGAAACUAACUGACAAGCUGUGUAACCUUGGAUUUGCUCUUUAUUUAAUCUCUCUGAGCCCCCGUUUUCUCACCUAUGUAAAAAAGAAAUGAUUAGAUGAACUGAUGUGUAUGCUUCUGCUUUGAGACCUAUACAAUAGAAAGGGAACAUUGUUAUCACUUGGUUUUAAUUCUGCUACGAGUCCUUUUGGGGGUGGGAUAGAAGGAGCUAUAGAAACCUCUCUACAGAAAUUACUUCUCUAUAGAGUGAAGGUUCCACUGACCUAAGAAAAAGGUGCGCUUUCCAUGUCUUUUCUGCUACCAGCGGAGUAUGAUCAAAACAGCGCAUUUCAAGUGACUUCAGAAAAAGUGAAUUCAGAACUUUUCUUUCCCUAAUGAAAAAAAUAGCUAAUUGACGACCUAAUAAAGUCAGUAAUUGUGUCGAGGGAGCAUUAUCAUUUCAUAGCCAAGUUUUCCAAACCGUGGUUCUUUGGCCCCAAUGGAUCCUUUUGAGCACAUAUGAGUCUUUAGUGCAAAGUAGAAGGGAAUAAGAGUGGAAUAAAAAGUUCGUAUUAUUAGUAAAGAUUUAGAAAAAAAGCUGAGGAUACACAGGCAAGGAAAAUGAACAUCAAAUGGAUGUCGACUGGGAGGAGAAUGCGUAUGUACUCACGAGUAAAUCACUUUGAUGGUUCUGCUUUAAGGCCCUAUUACUUUCUGUUUAAAUUUAUGUUCAAGUGUUAUUAGUUUCAAAAAGAGAGAGAGAUGAGCUUUUUAAAAUAGGGCAGUUUGUAUUCUGAGAGACCAAUUUUGUUGGGCCGGAUGAGGCUUAUCACAGGCAGAUGUACAAAUGCCCAAGGGAAUGGGAAUGCU
Molecule: RNA transcript, 1935 nt
Organism: Miniopterus natalensis
Lineage: Eukaryota; Metazoa; Chordata; Mammalia; Chiroptera; Miniopteridae
Gene: FBXO16
Gene name: F-box protein 16
Source: RefSeq, a predicted model, not a curated record